GUCAGGAUGGCCGAGUGGUCUAAGGCGCCAGACUCAAGGCUCUGCCUUCCCACAGUUGGGAAUUCUGGUCUCCAUGUGGAGGCGUGGGUUCAAAUCCCACUCCUGACA
RNAcentral lists this transfer RNA (108 nucleotides) under Tauraco erythrolophus (red-crested turaco). It matches the Rfam family "tRNA". From Rfam's summary of the family: Transfer RNA (tRNA) molecules are approximately 80 nucleotides in length. Their secondary structure includes four short double-helical elements and three loops (D, anti-codon, and T loops). Further hydrogen bonds mediate the characteristic L-shaped molecular structure. tRNAs have two regions of fundamental functional importance: the anti-codon, which is responsible for specific mRNA codon recognition, and the 3' end, to which the tRNAs corresponding amino acid is attached (by aminoacyl-tRNA synthetases). tRNAs cope with the degeneracy of the genetic code in two manners: having more than one tRNA (with a specific anti-codon) for a particular amino acid; and 'wobble' base-pairing, i.e. permitting non-standard base-pairing at the 3rd anti-codon position. Lineage: Eukaryota; Metazoa; Chordata; Aves; Musophagiformes; Musophagidae. The record is from Rfam by way of RNAcentral.